CUCGGGCCGUGCUCGUGCCUGGAGCACAGAAACUGCGCAGGACGCAGAGAGCCCCAAGCCCUGGAGGAGCCCAAUUUGUUUCUGUGGCAUGCCAACCUCACACCUUUCCUUCCUGUUUGGCAUCAAGAGAGGGAAGUCGCUUUUUCAUGUCUGUAUGGCCACAUUCACUUGUUAUGUAAGUCGGCUGUGGUUGAUGUUCUGUUUAGAGUGGCUAUUGGGUUUGAAAAUUGGUAUCUGGUUAUAACAUCCUCAUAAAGAAAAAUUCCAUGCACAACGUGAGGAAGCUUGUAAUCCCACCAGGCAACUGGUAAUGCUGGCUGAAAUGUUGCCUAGCUUCAAAUAGGAGCAAGUCAGACACUUAGGGAAUGAAUACUU
This 375-nucleotide long non-coding RNA is filed under the name Ursus maritimus (polar bear). Its description in RNAcentral is "lncRNA (ENSUMAG00000019330.1)". The record is from RNAcentral. Lineage: Eukaryota; Metazoa; Chordata; Mammalia; Carnivora; Ursidae.